GUCGAUCACCGAUCGAGCGAUUCUGAACGACGUCCCUGCCGCUGCGAGCCGUCUCGACCUGGCUGGCAGGUAACGGUGAUCUCAGUGAACUUGUGCGGCAUGGUCUUCAUGUUCUUAAAGAAACACUACCUACAGAGCAAGAUCUAAUCACAAAGGUCUUUGUGGUCUGGGAUAGAUCUGUCUAUCAGGAGUAUUAAGCUGAUGAGGAUAAUACCACUCCUCCAUCAAAGCUUUCCACAUCCUGUACCACUUUUUCUACAGGUUUUGUUUUCUUUUGUUUGUCUUUUCUCCUUACAGGAUAUUCAGGGACAUCUGGCUCCAGAGAUAAGUCAUUCCCUCAUCUUCCAGGCUUGUUAGCUGGUCACUUUUCAUGUAGUGGACAACGUAUUCUAACAGUCCAGGUUUGUUGCUGCCUGUGACUGCUGGAAUGUCCAUAUCUCUUCCAUCUUCCAGUGACGAUCCAAGCUUGAAGAGCUGCUGUCCACUGAGGAGGUGCAGUUGCUUCUGGAUGUCCCACAGCAACACACGACAAGGAUUUGAAGAUGUCGUCUCCAAUGGAUAUCCGAAGCCUCUCAAGUCACAGGAUGGCUAACUCUCGCAGCCGCCCUGGUCACUCUCGCCUCAGGUCCACUUGGUUUAGGGAUCAGCAACCAUCCAGAAGAUGGUGCUGGAUCCCGGACGAGCCCCCAAAAUGUAACCGGUGGGAAAAGGAAAGUGGGACCUGAGCAAACAAAUAGAAGUCCGACACAUGCAGAUGUGUAGAAUGUUCUGGCGAUUUCUCACAUUUCCUGCCUACUUAAUCAGAACCACAGACCUACCAUUUGUGGGCAUAGUCCGCCAUCUACAUGACUAAUUGUGUAAUAGUACCUAAACUUGAUUCUAAAUGUGCAGCUCUAAUCAGUGAAUAGUGAAAAUGAAUCUGGUCAGUAAGUAAACAUAAAUUAAGAAAGGAAAAUAAAAAAAUGAAAUAGAGGGGUGUCUGUUUUUAUAACCCAAUAGUUUCCAGUCCUCUACACUCGCAAUCUGGCAUUUGUGAAAUGCACUGCCACUCAAAAAAAAUCUUAUCAUCAUCAUAUGGUAAAGAAGCAAGCAACAACAAUUGUUUUAUUGGUCGCGUAGUCAGAUAAUUGAAACAGUAUUCAUUGACUGCUAUUCCCUGGAUGAUCCAGCAAAAAAUUAAGCCUUCUGAUUGGGUGGGCCUGAGUGCCAAGUGGGUGGGCCACCCACAGCUACACGGGUCAGUUGUCCUGGUCAAGGGAGGGUCCAACUCCGACGGCAGCCGCCGCUCAGUCAACCCUCGGAGCGCACGACGACCGAUGCCAUAUAGCACUGCCGGAGCAAGGGGAACCGCGUGAGCCUGGACCGUUUACAUGCACACCGCCUAUGUUUGGGCUGUUUAAUGUCUCAGUAUAUAUAUUUUUAUUUUUUUUCCAUGUAAAUCUGAUGUAUAGUAUGUUCAGAUCAUUAAAUAAGUUUUAUCAAUUUUCCAUGGACAACUUCAAGCCAUUAAAGUUGGGUUUUGGGAACGAUAGUAUGUCUCUAAUAUGAUUGAAUUUUGGUGGUGGGGCUACCCUCUAUUUGGAUUGACUAAUAUGUGGGAGAGGAUACCUCUUGUACCGUGCGCAAAUAGAGCGAGCGUGUGUGCAAUAUGGCCAGUCAGCGACCUGUUUGCAGUCAGGACCUGAGGGUGGCUUUGGGGUCAUCUUGUCCUGGGCACGAUUAAGGAACGCUUG
Molecule: long non-coding RNA, 1733 nt
Organism: Lampris incognitus (smalleye Pacific opah)
Lineage: Eukaryota; Metazoa; Chordata; Actinopteri; Lampriformes; Lampridae
Exons: 3
Source: RefSeq, a predicted model, not a curated record